GGACAGAAAGACCCUAUGAAGCUUUACUGUAGUUUGGAAUUGGGUUCGGGCUCUUCUUGCGCAGCCUAGGUGGGAGGCUAUGAAGAUAAACUUUUGGGUUUAUUGGGGCCAACAGUGAGAGACCACUCUAGAGGAGCUAGAAUUCUAAUGGCGUUCCUUGAAGCAGGACGCUUGACAGUUUCAGAUGGGCAGUUUGACUGGGGCGGUCACCUCCUAAAAGGUAACGGAGGUGUGCAAAGGUUCCCUCAGGCUGGACGGAAAUCAGCCGUAGAGUGUAAAGGCAGAAGGGAGCUUGACUGCAAGACCUACAAGUCGAGCAGGGGCGAAAGCCGGCCUUAGUGAUCCGACGGUUCCGAGUGGAAGGGCCGUCGCUAAACGGAUAAAAGUUACUCUAGGGAUAACAGGCUGA
This 409-nucleotide ribosomal RNA is filed under the name uncultured organism. Its description in RNAcentral is "bacterial LSU rRNA". It matches the Rfam family "Bacterial large subunit ribosomal RNA", at positions 2078 to 2485 of the family's 2925-position model. The record is from RNAcentral.